AUGGCCCAGCAUUGGACAUACUGUCAUAAGCUUUCCUAUAAUACAGCCUCUAACAAAACUAGGCUGUCCCAAACCCUGGUAAUAGAGUUGUUUACUUUUAUACCAAGACAUUUGGGGAAACACCAACAUCUGCAUGUGGUGUGUACCCAGACACAUUUUGAGGGCUUCUUGCUGUGAGACCUGAAGUUCUUAUGAGGUUGUCUAGAAGGAAAAAAACAUGCUAGCAGGGCUUGUGGUGGUGCCAUGUGUGCUGAGUGUGUUUGUGGCAGGAUCAAGCAUGUGUUCCUUAUCAGGGAGCAGAAAAUCAUGAAAGAGUUCAAGGUACAAGCACAGAGUCAGAAUGCUAA
RNAcentral lists this long non-coding RNA (347 nucleotides) under Homo sapiens (human). Its description in RNAcentral is "non-protein coding lnc-ALKAL1-4:1". Lineage: Eukaryota; Metazoa; Chordata; Mammalia; Primates; Hominidae. The record is from RNAcentral.